This 460-nucleotide ribosomal RNA is filed under the name uncultured bacterium. Its description in RNAcentral is "partial 16S ribosomal RNA". It matches the Rfam family "Bacterial small subunit ribosomal RNA", at positions 338 to 795 of the family's 1533-position model. The record is from RNAcentral.
CCUACGGGGGGCAGCAGUGAGGAAUAUUGGUCAAUGGCCGUAAGGCUGAACCAGCCAAGUCGCGUGAAGGAAGAAGGAUCUAUGGUUUGUAAACUUCUUUUAUAGGGGAUUAAAGGUAUCCACGUGUGGAUAUUUGCAUGUACCCUAUGAAUAAGCAUCGGCUAACUACGUGCCAGCAGCCGCGGUAAUACGUAGGGAGCAAGCGUUAUCCGGAUUUAUUGGGUGUAAAGGGUGCGUAGACGGAGAAGCAAGUUAGUUGUGAAAUCCCUCGGCUUAACUGAGGAACUGCAACUAAAACUACUUCCCUUGAGUACUGGAGAGGAAAGUGGAAUUCCUAGUGUAGCGGUGAAAUGCGUAGAUAUUAGGAGGAACACCAGUGGCGAAGGCGACUUUCUGGACAGUAACUGACGUUGAGGCACGAAAGUGUGGGGAGCAAACAGGAUUAGAUACCCGGGUAGUC